UACAGAGGGUGCAAGCGUUGUUCGGAAUCACUGGGCGUAAAGCGCGCGCAGGCGGGUGGGCAAGUCGGAAGUGAAAUCUCGCCGCUCAACGACGAGGCUGCUUCGGAUACUACCCAUCUAGGGACCGGUAGAGGCUGGUAGAAUUGCAGGUGUAGCGGUGGAAUGCGUAGAGAUCUGCGAGAAUACCCGUGGCGAAGGCGGCCAGCUGGGCCGGGUCCGACGCUGAGGCGCGAAAGCGUGGGGAGCAAACAGG
Molecule: ribosomal RNA, 253 nt
Filed under: uncultured bacterium
Lineage: Bacteria
Description: partial 16S ribosomal RNA
Rfam family: Bacterial small subunit ribosomal RNA
Source: RNAcentral